This is a long non-coding RNA of Amblyraja radiata (thorny skate), 351 nucleotides long. RefSeq lists it as uncharacterized. NCBI's taxonomy places the organism in Eukaryota, Metazoa, Chordata, Chondrichthyes, Rajiformes, Rajidae. The record is from RefSeq and is a predicted model, not a curated record. The transcript has 2 exons.
AGGUCACACCAGCACUUCCCCAUGCUCAGCCCCGUCCUGCGCUGACCUCAGGGUCAGGGGUCAGAUGAGGAGGGUUAGAGGGCGGGGGGUCAGAUUGAAUGGCUUCCCCGAGAUCACGACCACCCUGGUGUCCUGACCUAGGCCAGGGUCAGAGGUGAAGGGGUGGGGGUCAGCGUUAGAGGGCAGGGCUUUCCUGACUUGCCUCGGACGAGGGGUGAGGUCAGGGGUCAGUCUGAAUGUGAAAGGUCAGGGAUCAGCAGGUGUUGCAGUGAGUUUGGGAGGGUGAGGUCUGUGUGAGGGAGGGGCAGUUGUAACCGGUUCCACUGAGGAAUGAAGGCCAUUCACCCAUCA